GAGCUGCCUUUUCCCUUUUAUCCUAUGGGGACACAGUAAGAGGAUGCCAUCUAUAAAUCAGAAAGCAGAGUCUCACCAGAUACUGAAUUUGCCAGUGCCCUGAUCAUGGACCCUCCAGCCUUCAGAAUUGCAACAGACACCUGAGCCAUGUACUCCUCCUGAUGGAUCGCAGGAGCAUAAGAUGGUAAGCCGAAACACAGAAUACAUCACAAAGCCCAUCCUUGAAACUAGGACAAUGUCCAUCAGCUACAAGCCCUAUGAUUAAGUCCAUCAAAGGUGAAGUAGAUGGAACUCCAUAUAGACAAAAAUAAAGGUGACAGCACUUCUCACAAAACUGGGACAACUAACUGUUUAUCCAACAUCUGCUGGCUAAAUAAAGACAUGAUCUUCACCUUUUGGGAUUGUUAAUUUAAAAUGGUUCCAUAAGAGCAAUGCAAAGACAGAGAUAUUUGGCAGCACUGCAGCUGGUGAUUUAUAUGGCUCUUCACAAGGUGUUAUUUUGGGGUAUCAAGGUAUGGAUGCUUAAAUCAGCUGCAGGAAGUAAGAAAGAAGAAAAAAGGAGUGAUAAAGAUAAAAAAAAAUCAACCUUGGUCCUUCCACCAAGACCCAUUAAUUUCCAUAUCAUCAUCUGCAUAAGAGGGAAGAUUCCUACAUGACCAGGUUACUGCAAGGAUGUGAAUUUUGAAUAUUAAAAUAUUAUACACAAUUGGAAAUAA
Long non-coding RNA from Homo sapiens (human), 716 nucleotides. Ensembl annotates it as long intergenic non-protein coding RNA 1884. Lineage: Eukaryota; Metazoa; Chordata; Mammalia; Primates; Hominidae. The record is from Ensembl.